AUUGAACGCUGGCGGCAUGCCUUACACAUGCAAGUCGAACGGCAGCACGGGAGCAAUCCUGGUGGCGAGUGGCGAACGGGUGAGUAAUAUAUCGGAACGUGCCCGGUCGUGGGGAUAACGUAGCGAAAGCUACGCUAAUACCGCAUACGAUCUACGGAUGAAAGCGGGGGAUCGCAAGACCUCGCGCGAUUGGAGCGGCCGAUAUCAGAUUAGGUAGUUGGUGAGGUAAAGGCUCACCAAGCCGACGAUCUGUAGCUGGUCUGAGAGGACGACCAGCCACACUGGGACUGAGACACGGCCCAGACUCCUACGGGAGCAGCAGUGGGGAAUUUUGGACAAUGGGCGCAAGCCUGAUCCAGCAAUGCCGCGUGCAGGGAUGAAAGGCCUUCGGGUUGUAAACUAGCUUUGUUACGGAACG
RNAcentral lists this ribosomal RNA (418 nucleotides) under uncultured bacterium. Its description in RNAcentral is "bacterial SSU rRNA". It matches the Rfam family "Bacterial small subunit ribosomal RNA", at positions 30 to 447 of the family's 1533-position model. The record is from RNAcentral.